GUUUUCCCUUCGGCAGCACACAUGCUAAAAUUAGAAUGAUCCAGAGUUAGGAUAGCACCUGGAUAAGGGCAACAUUUAACCUCAUGAAGUGUUCUACAGUCUA
RNAcentral lists this small nuclear RNA (103 nucleotides) under Ursus americanus (American black bear). The record is from RNAcentral. Lineage: Eukaryota; Metazoa; Chordata; Mammalia; Carnivora; Ursidae.